Molecule: non-coding RNA, 862 nt
Organism: Manis javanica (Malayan pangolin)
Lineage: Eukaryota; Metazoa; Chordata; Mammalia; Pholidota; Manidae
Source: RefSeq, a predicted model, not a curated record
CCUGACGGGCACAAGCUCUUGCUGCGUCCGGGGCAGGUCCUUCCUGACGGUUCUCGUGCUUCUCCCCCUUGCCCCCCGUAGAAGGAUGAUGACAUCGAAGAAGGCGAUCUCCCAGAGCACAAGAGACCCUCAGCCCCCAUCGACUUCUCACAGAUAGACCCGGGCAAGCCCGAGAGCAUCCUGAGAAUGACCAAGAAGGGGAAGACGCUCAUGAUGUUCGCCACCGUGUCGGGGAGCCCCACGGAGAAGGAGACGGAGGAGAUCACCAGCCUGUGGCAGGGCAGCCUCUUCAACGCCAACUACGACGUGCAGAGGACUUUGUCAAGUGGCACCUUCAGUGGGCGCCUCGGAAAGUAACACAGGUCCGACGGCACCUCCUGGCAUCCCCAGCGGCCCCUGAGAUGCGUCUGCAGUGUUCCAGGGAGCCCCCUGCGCUGCUCAGCACCAGCACCACCACUCCCCCCGCCACACCCCACUCUCCGGCACGCCCAGGUUCUGUCUGUGUCGAUUGAGCCGAGGGGUUAAAUAGUUCAGUUGGCUGUACGGGGAGCCCUUGAGCAGCGUGGGUUUGAGCUGGGCUGGUCCAUGUAUAUGUGGGUUUUUUAAAUAAAUAUAUUGGAAUUUUUUGUGGAGACUUGCAACAAUUUGAAACAUUUUCUUUUUUCUAGCUGACUCUGUUAGAAUACAGAUACCAUACAGAAUACCUGUUAAUUGGCUUUAUGUUACAGGUUCAUCGUGGGGUCAGACCGCGCCAUCUUCAUGCUGCGUGACGGGGGCUAUGCCUGGGAGAUCAAGGACUUCCUGGUCAGUCAAGACAGAUGUGCCGACGUGACUCUGGAGGGACAGGUGUACCCCGGCAAAG